This 503-nucleotide ribosomal RNA is filed under the name uncultured bacterium. RNAcentral's name for it is "partial 16S ribosomal RNA". It matches the Rfam family "Bacterial small subunit ribosomal RNA", at positions 28 to 523 of the family's 1533-position model. The record is from RNAcentral.
GAUGAACGCUAGCGAUAGGCUUAACACAUGCAAGUCGAGGGGCAGCAUAAGAGUAGCAAUACUUUGGUGGCGACCGGCGCACGGGUGAGUAACAUAUAUGCAACCUGCCCAUAACUGGGGGAUAACCCGUCGAAAGGCGGCCUAAUACCGCAUGACGACGAUGAUCCGCACGGUGAUUCGUCUAACGAUUUAUCGGUUAUGGAGGGGCAUGCGUUCCAUUAGAUUGUUGUCAGGGUAACGGACUACCAAGUCUUCGAUGGAUAGGGGUCCUGAGAGGAAGGUCCCCCGCACUGGUACUGAGACACGGACCAGACUCCUACGGGAGGCAGCAGUGAGGAAUAUUGGUCAAUGGGCGAGAGCCUGAACCAGCCAAAUCGCGUGAAGGAUGAAGGUACUAUGUAUUGUAAACUUCUUUUGUCAGGGAAUAAAGUGCGGCACGUGUGCUGUUUUGUAUGUACCUGAAGAAUAAGGAUCGGCUAACUCCGUGCCAGCAGCCGCAGUAA